AAGAAGAGAGAGGGCACAUGUAUGGGAACUUGUAUUCGUGUUUUAGACUGAUAUAAUACUUAGUUGUAUACUUUUAACAAAGAGACCUCCUAUACAAAGUAUUUCAUAAAUAAGAUCGAGAAAUAGUCGAUAUAUAAAAAAUACAUAUAGUGUGACGUGAUCCUAAACUCGACUGAUGCUUCUUUCCUGUAAAUGUGAUCCUAAAUUCGACUUAUGAAACAAAAAAAUUCCACUUUCAUUCUCCAAAU
Molecule: long non-coding RNA, 248 nt
Organism: Arabidopsis thaliana (thale cress)
Lineage: Eukaryota; Viridiplantae; Streptophyta; Magnoliopsida; Brassicales; Brassicaceae
Product: other RNA
Exons: 1
Source: RefSeq